ACAUAAAGUCAUCUCUUAGUUACUCUUGUCAAUAGGAAAAACCACUGGUGUGUAUAAUUGAAAAAUGGAGCUACUUUGACUAAGGCCGACAGAGAUGAAUGGAGAAGGACAUUGCCUGGCAUCUUCUCACCCAGCUACAUGGUUCCUGCUGCCUUCUGGAUGGAUGAUCAAGUUUGAUUAGAUUGAGUGAUGUCAUGCUUUCAGUGCACUUCCUGUCCAAUGUGAAUACUACAAUAAGAUUUCAACAAGAACAUGGAGCUCAUUCAGCAAUAAUCAUUGAAAUAAUACCUUUGAGAGCCUGUCUGGUAUUCUAGGGACAGUAGAGAGACUGCUGUGGCUGGAGUAGAGGGAAGGCAGCAGAGCAGGAGCAGCAGCAGACAAGGUUAGUGCCCUAAGGGGUCGGUGGGAGCAGAGACAGUAGAGAUGUGGCUCUCCUCC
This 438-nucleotide long non-coding RNA is filed under the name Fukomys damarensis (Damara mole-rat). RNAcentral describes it as "lncRNA (ENSFDAG00000032495.1)". Lineage: Eukaryota; Metazoa; Chordata; Mammalia; Rodentia; Bathyergidae. The record is from RNAcentral.